AAAAGCUGGGUUGAGAGGGU
Molecule: non-coding RNA, 20 nt
Filed under: Macaca fascicularis (crab-eating macaque)
Lineage: Eukaryota; Metazoa; Chordata; Mammalia; Primates; Cercopithecidae
Also listed under: 5 other names
Source: RNAcentral